AUCGUUCAUCUCAUUAAAUGAGUGAGACGGAAGUAGGUUGAAAACCGAAGGAACGCUGU
This 59-nucleotide non-coding RNA is filed under the name unclassified sequences. The record is from Rfam.